This is a small nuclear RNA of Ochotona princeps (American pika), 108 nucleotides long. The record is from Ensembl. Lineage: Eukaryota; Metazoa; Chordata; Mammalia; Lagomorpha; Ochotonidae.
GUGCUUGUUUCAGCAGCACAUACACUAAAAAACUGAAACUAUACAGAGAGGAUUAGCAUGGCCCCUGUCAAGAAUGACGUGCAAAUUCAUGAAGCAUUCCAUAAUUAA